Molecule: transfer RNA, 96 nt
Filed under: Xylaria bambusicola
Lineage: Eukaryota; Fungi; Ascomycota; Sordariomycetes; Xylariales; Xylariaceae
Description: tRNA-Ile
Rfam family: tRNA
About the family: Transfer RNA (tRNA) molecules are approximately 80 nucleotides in length. Their secondary structure includes four short double-helical elements and three loops (D, anti-codon, and T loops).
Source: RNAcentral
GCUCGGUUAGCUCAGUUGGUUAGAGCGUCGUACUAAUACAAUCAUAAGUUGUAUCAAGUAAUGCGAAGGUCAUGAGUUCGACCCUCAUACUGAGCA